UGGAACUACAGGACAACAAGGUGUCAGCAUCAUUACAUGGACAGGUCUGGAGCUACAGGACAACAAGGUGUCAGCAUCAUUACAUGGACAGGUCUGGAACUACAGGACAACAAGGUGUCAGCAUCAUUACAUGGACAGGUCUGGAACUACAGGACAACAAGGUAUCAGCAUCAUUACAUGGACAGGUCUGGAACUACAGGACAACAAGGUGUCAGCAUCAUUACAUGGACAGGUCUGGAACUACAGGACAACAAGGUGUCAGCAUCAUUACAUGGACAGGUCUGGAACUACAGGACAACAAGGUAUCAGCAUCAUUACAUGGACAGGUCUGGAACUACAGGACAACAAGGUGUCAGCAUCAUUACAUGGACAGGUCUGGAACUACAGGACAACAAGGUGUCAGCAUCAUUACAUGGACAGGUCUGGAACUACAGGACACCAAGGUGUCAGCAUCAUUACAUGGACAGGUCUGGAACUACAGGACAGGACAACAAGGUGUUAGCAUCAUUACAUGGACAGGUCUGGAACUACAGGACAACAAGGUAUCAGCAUCAUUACAUGGACAGGUCUGGAACUACAGGACAACAAGGUGUCAGCAUCAUUACAUGGACAGGUCUGGAACUACAGGACAGGACAACA
Molecule: long non-coding RNA, 639 nt
Organism: Oncorhynchus keta (chum salmon)
Lineage: Eukaryota; Metazoa; Chordata; Actinopteri; Salmoniformes; Salmonidae
Exons: 3
Source: RefSeq, a predicted model, not a curated record